This 66-nucleotide transfer RNA is filed under the name Myrmica scabrinodis. RNAcentral describes it as "transfer RNA-Thr". The record is from RNAcentral. Lineage: Eukaryota; Metazoa; Arthropoda; Insecta; Hymenoptera; Formicidae.
AGCUUAAUAGUUUAAUUUAAAAUAUUAAUUUUGUAAAUUAAAGUUAUAUUAUAAAUAUUUAAGCUU